This is a long non-coding RNA of Salarias fasciatus (jewelled blenny), 568 nucleotides long. RefSeq lists it as uncharacterized. Lineage: Eukaryota; Metazoa; Chordata; Actinopteri; Blenniiformes; Blenniidae. The record is from RefSeq and is a predicted model, not a curated record. The transcript has 3 exons.
UCAACUCACAGAGAUUGAGUUCAUAUGACUUAAAUGCAUUAAAGCUAUGGUAUUACUUAUUAUUUCUGAUUCAAAUUAACUUUUUUGUGUCCUUUCUGAUUGUACUCAUGUUUUUAAGUCAAAUCAAUAACAAAUUUAUUGUCUGUGCUCAAAUUACUUAAUAUCGUCAAGUUUUGCCUGUUGCUAAUAGCAACACAUUGGCGCCACCCACAAACCCGCCAGAAAUCCAGUUUUUACCAGUUCUCAGAACACUGUGAGCCAGAAAGAGAAGCUACAGCAGAAGCAUCUUUCACCAGUGGAGUUGUUUGAAGCAAGUUGACCCACGUUUGAAGCCUUCAGUGGACCUGAGCUCGGCGUAAAAAAGGCUGGAGCUGAGCUGAGGUGAAGGUGGCCUGCCAUCACCCAGAUGUGUCAGAGCUGGCUGGCUCUCUGUACUGAACGCCAGGUGUGUCUGGAGUUCUAGAGGCUGGUUGGUAAGAGCCUGAGACAGGAGUUCCACAAGGUCCGUGACCAUUGCAGUCCCAGGCUCAUGGAAAUCUUCAAGGCAAAAAGAGUCCUCACAUGGCAG